AGUCUGACGGAGCACGCCGCGUGAGCGAUGAAGGCCUUCGGGUCGUAAAGCUCUGUUGUUAGGGAAGAACAAGUAUCGGAGUAACUGCCGGUACCUUGACGGUACCUAACCAGAAAGCCACGGCUAACUACGUGCCAGCAGCCGCGGUAAUACGUAGGUGGCAAGCGUUGUCCGGAAUUAUUGGGCGUAAAGCGCGCGCAGGCGGUCCUUUAAGUCUGAUGUGAAAGCCCACGGCUCAACCGUGGAGGGUCAUUGGAAACUGGGGGACUUGAGUGCAGAAGAGGAGAGUGGAAUUCCACGUGUAGCGGUGAAAUGCGUAGAGAUGUGGAGGAACACCAGUGGCGAAGGCGACUCUCUGGUCUGUAACUGACGCUGAGGCGCGAAAGCGUGGGGAGCGAACAGGAUUAGAUACCCUGGUAGUCCACGCCGUAAACGAUGAGUGCUAAGUGUUAGAGGGUUUCCGCCCUUUAGUGCUGCAGCAAACGCAUUAAGCACUCCGCCUGGGGAGUACGGCCGCAAGGCUGAAACUCAAAUG
Molecule: ribosomal RNA, 535 nt
Filed under: Bacillus sp. (in: firmicutes)
Lineage: Bacteria; Bacillati; Bacillota; Bacilli; Caryophanales; Bacillaceae
Description: bacterial SSU rRNA
Rfam family: Bacterial small subunit ribosomal RNA
Source: RNAcentral